UUUCUACAGUGAUGACCAUGGGGUCGUCCUGGGCUGGAUCUAUGGCUGUAAAGUCUUCGUCAGUGAAAGUAAUCAGAGGUAUAUGUGGACGCCUCCUCGUGGUAGCAUGAGCGGACUGGAUGUCACGGAGAUGUUUCUUUCGGGCGGAAUUUGAGCACCCGCCACCGGCAAAUCCUCCAGCUAUAUAAUUUGUUUCGUGGUUCGGUUCGCCCAAGUUAACGGGUCCAGCAAUCAUGUUGAUGACUUCGCGGACUCGUUGGCGAGGUCGGGCGUUUCGGUCGGGACUUGUGCUACGGGCGCGUGUACGCCGAACGGGGCUUUCGCUGCGUUUUCGCGAAGUCUGGCUACGGUCAGUGUGGCGUUUGUAAUCGUUAC
RNAcentral lists this long non-coding RNA (375 nucleotides) under Phaseolus vulgaris (common bean). Its description in RNAcentral is "long non-coding RNA (PVUL_LNC000734)". The record is from RNAcentral. Lineage: Eukaryota; Viridiplantae; Streptophyta; Magnoliopsida; Fabales; Fabaceae.